GGAUUGGCUUUGGAGAGCGAGAUAAUGAUAAAAAGAGACUGUCGGGGGCAUCCGUACUACGACGCGAGAGGUGAAAUUCUAUGACCGUCGUAGGACGAACAACCGCGAAAGCAUUUGCCAAGAAUGUUUUCAUUGAUCAAGAACGAAAGUUAGAGGAUCGAAGGCGAUCAGAUACCGCCCUAGUUCUAACCCUAAACGAUGCUAACUAGCAAUCCGCCGUCGUUAUUCCAU
This 231-nucleotide ribosomal RNA is filed under the name Atyidae environmental sample. Its description in RNAcentral is "partial 18S ribosomal RNA". It matches the Rfam family "Eukaryotic small subunit ribosomal RNA", at positions 841 to 1071 of the family's 1831-position model. The record is from RNAcentral. Lineage: Eukaryota; Metazoa; Arthropoda; Malacostraca; Decapoda; Atyidae.